RNAcentral lists this ribosomal RNA (253 nucleotides) under uncultured bacterium. Its description in RNAcentral is "partial 16S ribosomal RNA". It matches the Rfam family "Bacterial small subunit ribosomal RNA", at positions 524 to 776 of the family's 1533-position model. The record is from RNAcentral.
UACGGAGGGGGCUAGCGUUGUUCGGAAUUACUGGGCGUAAAGCGCGCGUAGGCGGUUCUGCAAGUCGGGGGUGAAAUCCCGAGGCUCAACCUCGGAACUGCCUUCGAUACUGCGGGUCUCGAGUCCGGGAGAGGUGAGUGGAAUUCCUAGUGUAGAGGUGAAAUUCGUAGAUAUUAGGAAGAACACCAGUGGCGAAGGCGGCUCACUGGCCCGGUACUGACGCUGAAGCGCGAAAGCGUGGGGAGCAAACAGG